Molecule: long non-coding RNA, 330 nt
Filed under: Brassica napus (rape)
Lineage: Eukaryota; Viridiplantae; Streptophyta; Magnoliopsida; Brassicales; Brassicaceae
Description: long non-coding RNA (BNAP_LNC024710)
Source: RNAcentral
AAAAGUCACAAACUUAGGGUUUAGAGUUAAAGGGUGGGGUUUAGGAAUUAGGGUUUAGGGUUUAGAGUUUAGGGUUUAGGUUUAGGGUUUAGGGUUUAGAGUUUAGAAUUUAGGGUUUAGGGUUUAGAGUUUAGGGUUUAGGGUUUAGAGUUUAGGGUUUAAGGUUUAGGGUUUAGGGUUUAGAGUUUAGGGUUUAGGGUUUAGAAUUGAGAAAUGAGGUUUUGGAGAUAAGAUAUAAACUUAGAAAGGUGCUAUUUUGGUCAUUUUAGUUUUUGAGUGCUAUUUUUGUGAUAUAAACUUAGAAAUAUGCUAUUUUGGACAUUUGCCCUU